Molecule: ribosomal RNA, 268 nt
Filed under: Pseudomonas veronii
Lineage: Bacteria; Pseudomonadati; Pseudomonadota; Gammaproteobacteria; Pseudomonadales; Pseudomonadaceae
Description: partial 16S ribosomal RNA
Rfam family: Bacterial small subunit ribosomal RNA
Source: RNAcentral
UGUCGUGCCAGCAGCCGCGGUAAUACAGAGGGUGCAAGCGUUAAUCGGAAUUACUGGGCGUAAAGCGCGCGUAGGUGGUUAGUUAAGUUGGAUGUGAAAUCCCCGGGCUCAACCUGGGAACUGCAUUCAAAACUGACUGACUAGAGUAUGGUAGAGGGUGGUGGAAUUUCCUGUGUAGCGGUGAAAUGCGUAGAUAUAGGAAGGAACACCAGUGGCGAAGGCGACCACCUGGACUGAUACUGACACUGAGGUGCGAAAGCGUGGGGAG